CUUGCUCUGUGGGAUCAGUGGCGAACGGGUGAGUAACACGUGAGCAACCUGCCCCUGACUCUGGGAUAAGCGCUGGAAACGGCGUCUAAUACUGGAUAUGUGACGUGACCGCAUGGUCUGCGUCUGGAAAGAAUUUCGGUUGGGGAUGGGCUCGCGGCCUAUCAGCUUGUUGGUGAGGUAAUGGCUCACCAAGGCGUCGACGGGUAGCCGGCCUGAGAGGGUGACCGGCCACACUGGGACUGAGACACGGCCCAGACUCCUACGGGAGGCAGCAGUGGGGAAUAUUGCACAAUGGGCGCAAGCCUGAUGCAGCAACGCCGCGUGAGGGACGACGGCCUUCGGGUUGUAAACCUCUUUUAGCAGGGAAGAAGCGAAAGUGACGGUACCUGCAGAAAAAGCGCCGGCUAACUACGUGCCAGCAGCCGCGGUAAUACGUAGGGCGCAAGCGUUAUCCGGAAUUAUUGGGCGUAAAGAGCUCGUAGGCGGUUUGUCGCGUCUGCUGUGAAAUCCGGAGGCUCAACCUCCGGCCUGCAGUGGGUACGGGCAGACUAGAGUGCGGUAGGGGAGAUUGGAAUUCCUGGUGUAGCGGUGGAAUGCGCAGAUAUCAGGAGGAACACCGAUG
Molecule: ribosomal RNA, 622 nt
Filed under: Microbacterium maritypicum
Lineage: Bacteria; Bacillati; Actinomycetota; Actinomycetes; Micrococcales; Microbacteriaceae
Description: bacterial SSU rRNA
Rfam family: Bacterial small subunit ribosomal RNA
Source: RNAcentral